UCCCAUCGCCUCACGGCGGAUCUGGGCGCUGCCUUACGGCUCGCCUUAAAUGCAUUAGCGAGGACAACCGUGCUUGCGCUGGCGUGAUAAUUGUCUCGCCUCAGCUCGCAUACAUGGCCUGCUUCCAAUCGCACGGCGUUCCGUGCACUAUUCUAC
This 156-nucleotide unclassified non-coding RNA is filed under the name Basidiodendron eyrei. RNAcentral's name for it is "partial internal transcribed spacer 2". Lineage: Eukaryota; Fungi; Basidiomycota; Agaricomycetes; Auriculariales; Exidiaceae. The record is from RNAcentral.